RNAcentral lists this unclassified non-coding RNA (471 nucleotides) under Hevea brasiliensis (rubber tree). The record is from RNAcentral. Lineage: Eukaryota; Viridiplantae; Streptophyta; Magnoliopsida; Malpighiales; Euphorbiaceae.
GGGAAACAAUGCUAUUGGAUGUGGUAAGGAGGAUUCACGAGCUUGCUGCUAAAUGAUUGAAUAUCGAUUCAAGUGUUGAUUGGCUGACGUUGUACUCUGCUAUCCCGAGCUGGUUUCUGUUCCUCUCUAUGUACCCGAAAACAUCAGCGAGUGAUAGACCUUCUCCACAAGGGAGCUGAUACUUGACACUCAAUCCAUUGCAACCUUGAAAUGUGGCGUCAGGAAAUGAAGACUGAAUGAAUGAAUGGAUUUUGGUAAACUUCUCCUUAGCCAACCACCACUCACAGAAUAUCGGCAACGGAAGUCCACCAUCACGAGCCAACUGCUCUGACAACUGGUCACCGAAAAUCUUACAAGAGUCUUCAGUUGCAGAUACUAAUGCUUUCACUCUUUCUUCAUUGCCAAACCACUGUCCAACAGCCAUGAUCAUUUCCUUUGAUAAGCUUAUUUCUGCCGCCGAUGCGUCUCCUG